UAUAAGGAGGUGUAAUCUUGCACAUAGAAUUUUGGAUUCUAAGGUAAACGUAGUUUCCUUAUAA
This 64-nucleotide transfer RNA is filed under the name Prosthiostomum siphunculus. RNAcentral's name for it is "tRNA-Gln". The record is from RNAcentral. Lineage: Eukaryota; Metazoa; Platyhelminthes; Polycladida; Prosthiostomidae.